AUUUUAUCCCAUUCUUUCUUUUCUUUUUCUCUUUUCUUUCUUCUCUUCCUCACCCGCACAGCCCCUGUUGCACGCCCAUCUCCUUUUCUUCUUCUUCUUCGCAUGCCCGAGUGACCCACAAAGAGAGAUGUCGAGAGACUGAGAGGGAAAAAGAGAAGAGAGAGUUUCAGAGGGAGAUACCGAGAGAUGAGAGAGGGAGGGUGAGAGAUGAAACCGAAGGGGGGAGAACCAGAGUACCCACAACCCAGGGGAGGUCCGAUCCUCCAUGACCGGCGGCUAGAGUCGAAAUCCGGCAGAACCCGAUGGAUUUCCGGCGUAGACCCGCUGCACCAUGAAGACCCGUGGCUCAGAACCCCUCGAACCCGUGACCCGUUGAACCCAAGAGGAGACCCGGUUCUCCAUGUGCUUUUCCGGCGAGUUUUCCGGCGGUCCAGUGAGCCAAUUUCCAGUCUUGCUUCGGAUAGUGUCCGAAUUGGAGACUUCAAUUGGUUCUCCAAUGUAGAAUUCGAGUCGUGGGUCCAAUGCAGCUGAGAUGAUGUUUCUUUGACUGCAGGUACUUCGGUAUAGUUGAUAGAUUGGUAGCAGUGUACUUGGAAUAUUAUGACUGAAGCUUGCCGUGACGGUUGUAGUUGUCAGACCACGGGUUGUCCACUAUUUUAUAGGUCAGGUAUGGCUUGUGACACUUGUGUCACUUAUUCUUUAUUAAGCCAUUAUUGUUAUGUAAAUAUUGUGUUAAUAAGACUCAAACAGAUAGAUGUUAAAUGGCUCUUUGUUGUAAUUAAUUUGUGAUAGAUGUGUAAAUUGUAAUUUCUGCUA
Alnus glutinosa is the source of this 816-nucleotide long non-coding RNA. RefSeq lists it as uncharacterized. The record is from RefSeq and is a predicted model, not a curated record. The transcript is spliced from 3 exons. NCBI's taxonomy places the organism in Eukaryota, Viridiplantae, Streptophyta, Magnoliopsida, Fagales, Betulaceae.